GCGCCCGUAGCUCAGUCGGAUAGAGCACCAGAUUCCUAAUCUGGGGGUCACAGGUUCGAAUCCUGUCGGGCGCACCA
RNAcentral lists this transfer RNA (77 nucleotides) under Rhodospirillaceae bacterium. RNAcentral describes it as "tRNA-Arg". It matches the Rfam family "tRNA". Rfam says of the family: Transfer RNA (tRNA) molecules are approximately 80 nucleotides in length. Their secondary structure includes four short double-helical elements and three loops (D, anti-codon, and T loops). Further hydrogen bonds mediate the characteristic L-shaped molecular structure. tRNAs have two regions of fundamental functional importance: the anti-codon, which is responsible for specific mRNA codon recognition, and the 3' end, to which the tRNAs corresponding amino acid is attached (by aminoacyl-tRNA synthetases). tRNAs cope with the degeneracy of the genetic code in two manners: having more than one tRNA (with a specific anti-codon) for a particular amino acid; and 'wobble' base-pairing, i.e. permitting non-standard base-pairing at the 3rd anti-codon position. The record is from RNAcentral. Lineage: Bacteria; Pseudomonadati; Pseudomonadota; Alphaproteobacteria; Rhodospirillales; Rhodospirillaceae. RNAcentral also lists the same sequence under 3 other names.